UCAGGGAGACCAAAUUCAAGUCAAAAGAAAUAGUCAAAUGCUUUUUGCUUUUAACUAGUAACUUUUAACUUUUAACUUGAAUUCAUCCCGAGGUCGGUCGCAGGAAAAAAGUAGGCUUUCUAACUAUAAGCAGGUUCGAAUUUGGGGCUAUUAGCUCAGGUGGUUAGAGCGCACCCCUGAUAAGGGUGAGGUCCCUGGUUCGAGUCCAGGAUGGCCCACAUGAAAAAAAUCGGGUGAAUGUAACUGCUGCAAGUAGAAAAAUGGGUCAAAUUCAGCACAGAGACGACAAGCGUCUCUCUGCUGGAUUAAAUCCAGCCAGAACCAUUGAAAACUGCAUAGUGACGCGAGAAUUUGCAGGCAGACACAGAGAGUAGUGUUUGUCAACAAGAAAUACCAAUGU
Molecule: transfer RNA, 400 nt
Filed under: uncultured Geitleria sp.
Lineage: Bacteria; Bacillati; Cyanobacteriota; Cyanophyceae; Nostocales; Geitleriaceae
Description: 16S-23S ribosomal RNA intergenic spacer
Rfam family: tRNA (bases 145-218)
Source: RNAcentral